This is a non-coding RNA of Camellia sinensis, 572 nucleotides long. NCBI's taxonomy places the organism in Eukaryota, Viridiplantae, Streptophyta, Magnoliopsida, Ericales, Theaceae. The record is from RefSeq and is a predicted model, not a curated record.
UUAUUGUUCUUGUAGCAGUUGGUCUUCUACAACUUCCCAUGAUCCAAUGCACUUUGUAAGGAUGGACAAUUGGAUUCAUGUUGAUUGCUUCAAAAAAUAAAGAGAUAGGCCAAAAAGAAUGUGUGUUAAGGUGGUGAAAGAAGACAUGAUUGGUUAAGCUAACAUUUCUACCAAGUCUAAGAAAACUAGUGGCAAAAGUAUCAUGUGAAGUUCAUGUAAAUACUCGCAACCAAACAAUUAUCCGUCAGAAUUGUUACCCCGAGUGAUCAUACUUGGAGGGUGAAGCAGAGCUAAGCUAGAAGGUUCGAUGGUGUCAGUGGUCUCUACAUCUGUAUACAUUUAAACAGUUUCUGGUACGCGAAAUCCAGAACGCGCAUAUCAUAUGAUCAUAUCCCUGUUUCUGUAAAAUAUAAACAUAUUAAAAACUGUUGGAAAAUCAUUGAUUGGAUGUCAUAUAUAUUAUAUUUGUGUAUAUUAUUAUUUUUCCAGGAAAAUAUUCCAUAUGUUGUGCGAGAACAGUUUCCUGUUUGAGAAAAUUACAGUAAGGUAUUGAAUGGCAAUUGGGAUAGAGA